This 595-nucleotide ribosomal RNA is filed under the name uncultured Bacteroidota bacterium. Its description in RNAcentral is "bacterial SSU rRNA". It matches the Rfam family "Bacterial small subunit ribosomal RNA", at positions 122 to 715 of the family's 1533-position model. The record is from RNAcentral. Lineage: Bacteria; Pseudomonadati; Bacteroidota.
CAACCUGCCCACCACUUGGGGAUAACCUUGCGAAAGUAAGACUAAUACCCAAUGACGUCUCUAGAAGACAUCUGAAGGAGAUUAAAGAUUUAUCGGUGAUGGAUGGGGAUGCGUCUGAUUAGCUUGUUGGCGGGGUAACGGCCCACCAAGGCGACGAUCAGUAGGGGUUCUGAGAGGAAGGUCCCCCACAUUGGAACUGAGACACGGUCCAAACUCCUACGGGAGGCAGCAGUGAGGAAUAUUGGUCAAUGGACGAGAGUCUGAACCAGCCAAGUAGCGUGCAGGAUGACGGCCCUAUGGGUUGUAAACUGCUUUUAUAAGGGAAUAAAGUGAGUCUCGUGAGGCUUUUUGCAUGUACCUUAUGAAUAAGGACCGGCUAAUUCCGUGCCAGCAGCCGCGGUAAUACGGAAGGUCCGGGCGUUAUCCGGAUUUAUUGGGUUUAAAGGGAGCGUAGGCCGGAGAUUAAGCGUGUUGUGAAAUGUAGACGCUCAACGUCUGCACUGCAGCGCGAACUGGUUUCCUUGAGUACGCACAGAGUGGGCGGAAUUCGUGGUGUAGCGGUGAAAUGCUUAGAUAUCACGAAGAACUCCGAUUG